UAUAAAGUCUGACCUGCCCAAUGAUGAUUUAAAUGGCCGCGGUAUUUUGACCGUGCAAAGGUAGCAUAAUAAUUAGUUUUUUAAUUGAAAGCUGGAAUGAAUGGUUGGACGAGAAAAUAACUGUCUCAAGUUAAUUUAAUUAGAAUUUUAUUUUUAAGUAAAAAAGCUUAAAUUUUUUUAAAAGACGAGAAGACCCUAUAGAGCUUUAUAUAUUUAUAAUUAAAGAUAAUGUGGGAUUUUAGGGUUUUUAUUUUUAAAUGUAUUUUAUUGGGGUGAUAAAAAAAUUAAUAAAACUUUUUUUUUAUAUUUACAUUAAUUUAUGAUUUGUUGAUCCAUUUUUUAUGAUUAAAAGAUUAAGUUACCUUAGGGAUAACAGCGUAAUUUUUUUUUAGAGUUCUUAUCGAAAGAAGAGAUUGCGACCUCGAUGUUGGAUUAAAAUUAAUAUUUGGUGAAGAUGCUAGAUAAUUAGGUCUGUUCGACCUUUAAAAUUUUACA
This 495-nucleotide ribosomal RNA is filed under the name Hymenoplia pseudocinerascens. RNAcentral's name for it is "partial 16S large subunit ribosomal RNA". It matches the Rfam family "Bacterial large subunit ribosomal RNA", at positions 1844 to 2600 of the family's 2925-position model. The record is from RNAcentral. Lineage: Eukaryota; Metazoa; Arthropoda; Insecta; Coleoptera; Scarabaeidae.